UAUCUCUGUAGAGUCUGCAUAUCAAUAAGCGGAGGAAAAGAAACUAACUAGGAUUCCCUCAGUAACGGCGAGUGAAGCGGGAAGAGCCCAAAUUUGAAAUCUUCAAGGUUCUACCUUGACGAAUUGUAGUUUAAAGAAGUGUUUUCUGUUGGAGUUUUGGUAAAAGUUCUUUGGAAUAGGACAUCAUAGAGGGUGAGAAUCCCGUAUUUGACCAUUAUUUUCAGCUGUGUGAUACACUUUCAAAGAGUCGGAUUGUUUGGGAAUGCAGUCCAAAAUGGGUGGUAAAUUUCAUCUAAAGCUAAAUAUUGGCGAGAGACCGAUAGCGAACAAGUACCGUGAGGGAAAGAUGAAAAGAACUUUGAAAAGAGAGUUAAACAGUACGUGAAAUUGACAAAAGGGAAGCGUUUGACACCAGUGUUGUUUUCUCGAAAAUCAAUUAAAAAAGGCUGGAUUUUGUGUUGUAUUGACCUUAAAAGCUUUCUUCACUCUUUUCUUGUCUUUUUUAAUGCACUUUUCGUUUAACAAGUCAACAUCAGUUUCUUUUGUUGUAAAAGGAUCAUUGGAAGGUGGCUUUCUUUUCGGAGAAAGUGUUUAUAGCCUUUGAUCUCUGCAACCGGAGAGACUGAGGUCUGCAGCGUAGACUCUUCGGGGUUAGAUACAUUUGUGCUAAGCUAUAGCUUUUUAUAGACAACUUGUUGGCUAUAAUUAGUCUUGUAGCUUACUCGCUUAUGCUAUUUUACCUACGCUUAGGAUGUUGAUGUGAUACUGCGAGCA
This 774-nucleotide ribosomal RNA is filed under the name uncultured Neocallimastigales. RNAcentral describes it as "partial large subunit ribosomal RNA". It matches the Rfam family "Eukaryotic large subunit ribosomal RNA", at positions 24 to 627 of the family's 3401-position model. Lineage: Eukaryota; Fungi; Neocallimastigomycota; Neocallimastigomycetes; Neocallimastigales. The record is from RNAcentral.